UCGUAACAAUGGGGGCGCAAGGGCUGUCGCUGACCUUCAAAGGUCGUGCACGCCUGAGCAUCCUCACACAUCCAUCUCACCCCUUUGUGCAUCACCGCGUGGGUCUCCUUUUCACAAAGGAGCUCACGUUUUCACACAAAACUUGAUACAGUGUAGAAUGUUAUCUUUGCGGUCACACGCAAUCAAUA
RNAcentral lists this unclassified non-coding RNA (188 nucleotides) under uncultured Russula. Its description in RNAcentral is "sequence contains ITS1". The record is from RNAcentral. Lineage: Eukaryota; Fungi; Basidiomycota; Agaricomycetes; Russulales; Russulaceae.